AUUGAACGCUGGCGGCAGGCCUAACACAUGCGAGUCGAACGGUAACAGGAAGAAGCUUGCUUCUUUGCUGACGAGUGGCGGACGGGUGAGUAAUGUCUGGGAAACUGCCUGAUGGAGGGGGAUAACUACUGGAAACGGUAGCUAAUACCGCAUAACGUCGCAAGACCAAAGAGGGGGACCUUCGGGCCUCUUGCCAUCGGAUGUGCCCAGAUGGGAUUAGCUAGUAGGUGGGGUAACGGCUCACCUAGGCGACGAUCCCUAGCUGGUCUGAGAGGAUGACCAGCCACACUGGAACCGAGACACGGUCCAGACUCCUACGGGAGGCAGCAGUGGGGAAUAUUGCACAAUGGGCGCAAGCCUGAUGCAGCCAUGCCGCGUGUAUGAAGAAGGCCUUCGGGUUGUAAAGUACUUUCAGCGGGGAAGAAGGGAGUAAAGUUAAUACCUUUGCUCAUUGACGUUACCCGCAGAAGAAGCACCGGCUAACUCCGUG
RNAcentral lists this ribosomal RNA (490 nucleotides) under uncultured bacterium. RNAcentral's name for it is "partial 16S ribosomal RNA". It matches the Rfam family "Bacterial small subunit ribosomal RNA", at positions 30 to 507 of the family's 1533-position model. The record is from RNAcentral.